GAAGAUGCUCAAAUGAAAAUGAAUGACAAGAAGACCCUGUCGAGCUUUACCUCUCAGCGAGGCACCAGUAAGCUCCACGAGAAACUGCAACCUAGCCCCAGGUUAUGUUGGGGCGACAAAGGGAUAAAACAAUCUCCCUAUAUAAAAGAAGACCUAUC
RNAcentral lists this ribosomal RNA (158 nucleotides) under Polygordius pacificus. RNAcentral describes it as "partial large subunit ribosomal RNA". Lineage: Eukaryota; Metazoa; Annelida; Polychaeta; Polygordiidae. The record is from RNAcentral.